GAGUAACACGUGGGUAACCUGCCCUUAAGUGGGGGAUAACAUUUGGAAACAGAUGCUAAUACCGCAUAAAUCCAAGAACCGCAUGGUCUUGGCUGAAAGAUGGCGUAAGCUAUCGCUUUUGGAUGGACCCGCGGCGUAUUAGCUAGUUGGUGAGGUAACGGCUCACCAAGGCAAUGAUACGUAGCCGAACUGAGAGGUUGAUCGGCCACAUUGGGACUGAGACACGGCCCAAACUCCUACGGGAGGCAGCAUG
This 253-nucleotide ribosomal RNA is filed under the name uncultured bacterium. RNAcentral's name for it is "partial 16S ribosomal RNA". It matches the Rfam family "Bacterial small subunit ribosomal RNA", at positions 108 to 353 of the family's 1533-position model. The record is from RNAcentral.